Molecule: ribosomal RNA, 253 nt
Filed under: uncultured bacterium
Lineage: Bacteria
Description: partial 16S ribosomal RNA
Rfam family: Bacterial small subunit ribosomal RNA
Source: RNAcentral
UACGAAGGGGGCUAGCGUUGUUCGGAAUCACUGGGCGUAAAGCGCACGCAGGCGGAUUGAUAAGUCAGGGGUGAAAUCCCGGGGCUCAACCUCGGAAUUGCCUUUGAUACUGUCUAUCUCGAGUUCGGGAGAGGUUGGCGGAAUUCCUAGUGUAGAGGUGAAAUUCGUAGAUAUUAGGAAGAACACCAGUGGCGAAGGCGGCCAACUGGCCCGAUACUGACGCUCAUGUGCGAAAGCGUGGGGAGCAAACAGG